AGUGAACGCUGGCGGUAGGCCUAACACAUGCAAGUCGAACGGCAGCACAGUAAGAGCUUGCUCUUACGGGUGGCGAGUGGCGGACGGGUGAGGAAUACAUCGGAAUCUACUUUUUCGUGGGGGAUAACGUAGGGAAACUUGCGCUAAUACCGCAUACGACCUACGGGUGAAAGCAGUGGAUCUUCGGACCUUGCGCGAUUGAAUGAGCCGAUGUCGGAUUAGCUAGUUGGCGGGGUAAAGGCCCACCAAGGCGACGAUCCGUAGCUGGUCUGAGAGGAUGAUCAGCCACACUGGAACUGAGACACGGUCCAGACUCCUACGGGAGGCAGCAGUGGGGAAUAUUGGACAAUGGGCGCAAGCCUGAUCCAGCCAUACCGCGUGGGUGAAGAAGGCCUUCGGGUUGUAAAGCACUUUUGUUGGGAAAGAAAAGCAGCAGGUUAAUACCCCGCUGUUCUGACGGUACCCAAAGAAUAAGCACCGGCUAACUUCGUG
Molecule: ribosomal RNA, 492 nt
Filed under: uncultured bacterium
Lineage: Bacteria
Description: partial 16S ribosomal RNA
Rfam family: Bacterial small subunit ribosomal RNA
Source: RNAcentral